GUCCACGCCCUAAACGAUGUCAACUAGUUGUCGGGGAGCAAUUCCUUGGUAACGCAGCUAACGCGUGAAGUUGACCGCCUGGGGAGUACGGUCGCAAGAUUAAAACUCAAAGGAAUUGACGGGGACCCGCACAAGCGGUGGAUGAUGUGGAUUAAUUCGAUGCAACGCGAAAACCUUACCUACCCUUGACAUGCCCAGAACCCUGAUGAAAGUCGGGGGUGCCCGAAAGGGAAUUGGAGCACAGGUGCUGCAUGGCUGUCGU
This 262-nucleotide ribosomal RNA is filed under the name uncultured bacterium. RNAcentral describes it as "partial 16S ribosomal RNA". It matches the Rfam family "Bacterial small subunit ribosomal RNA", at positions 793 to 1055 of the family's 1533-position model. The record is from RNAcentral.